GGUUAAGCGACUAAGCGUACACGGUGGAUGCCCUGGCAGUCAGAGGCGAUGAAGGACGUGCUAAUCUGCGAUAAGCGUCGGUAAGGUGAUAUGAACCGUUAUAACCGGCGAUUUCCGAAUGGGGAAACCCAGUGUGUUUCGACACACUAUCAUUAACUGAAUCCAUAGGUUAAUGAGGCGAACCGGGGGAACUGAAACAUCUAAGUACCCCGAGGAAAAGAAAUCAACCGAGAUUCCCCCAGUAGCGGCGAGCGAACGGGGAGCAGCCCAGAGCCUGAAUCAGUGUGUGUGUUAGUGGAAGCGUCUGGAAAGGCGCGCGAUACAGGGUGACAGCCCCGUACACAAAAAUGCACAUGCUGUGAGCUCGAUGAGUAGGGCGGGACACGUGGUAUCCUGUCUGAAUAUGGGGGGACCAUCCUCCAAGGCUAAAUACUCCUGACUGACCGAUAGUGAACCAGUACCGUGAGGGAAAGGCGAAAAGAACCCCGGCGAGGGGAGUGAAAAAGAACCUGAAACCGUGUACGUACAAGCAGUGGGAGCACGCUUAGGCGUGUGACUGCGUACCUUUUGUAUAAUGGGUCAGCGACUUAUAUUCUGUAGCAAGGUUAACCGAAUAGGGGAGCCGAAGGGAAACCGAGUCUUAACUGGGCGUUAAGUUGCAGGGUAUAGACCCGAAACCCGGUGAUCUAGCCAUGGGCAGGUUGAAGGUUGGGUAACACUAACUGGAGGACCGAACCGACUAAUGUUGAAAAAUUAGCGGAUGACUUGUGGCUGGGGGUGAAAGGCCAAUCAAACCGGGAGAUAGCUGGUUCUCCCCGAAAGCUAUUUAGGUAGCGCCUCGUGAAUUCAUCUCCGGGGGUAGAGCACUGUUUCGGCAAGGGGGUCAUCCCGACUUACCAACCCGAUGCAAACUGCGAAUACCGGAGAAUGUUAUCACGGGAGACACACGGCGGGUGCUAACGUCCGUCGUGAAGAGGGAAACAACCCAGACCGCCAGCUAAGGUCCCAAAGUCAUGGUUAAGUGGGAAACGAUGUGGGAAGGCCCAGACAGCCAGGAUGUUGGCUUAGAAGCAGCCAUCAUUUAAAGAAAGCGUAAUAGCUCACUGGUCGAGUCGGCCUGCGCGGAAGAUGUAACGGGGCUAAACCAUGCACCGAAGCUGCGGCAGCGACACUAUGUGUUGUUGGGUAGGGGAGCGUUCUGUAAGCCUGUGAAGGUGUGCUGUGAGGCAUGCUGGAGGUAUCAGAAGUGCGAAUGCUGACAUAAGUAACGAUAAAGCGGGUGAAAAGCCCGCUCGCCGGAAGACCAAGGGUUCCUGUCCAACGUUAAUCGGGGCAGGGUGAGUCGACCCCUAAGGCGAGGCCGAAAGGCGUAGUCGAUGGGAAACAGGUUAAUAUUCCUGUACUUGGUGUUACUGCGAAGGGGGGACGGAGAAGGCUAUGUUGGCCGGGCGACGGUUGUCCCGGUUUAAGCGUGUAGGCUGGUUUUCCAGGCAAAUCCGGAAAAUCAAGGCUGAGGCGUGAUGACGAGGCACUACGGUGCUGAAGCAACAAAUGCCCUGCUUCCAGGAAAAGCCUCUAAGCAUCAGGUAACAUCAAAUCGUACCCCAAACCGACACAGGUGGUCAGGUAGAGAAUACCAAGGCGCUUGAGAGAACUCGGGUGAAGGAACUAGGCAAAAUGGUGCCGUAACUUCGGGAGAAGGCACGCUGAUAUGUAGGUGAGGUCCCUCGCGGAUGGAGCUGAAAUCAGUCGAAGAUACCAGCUGGCUGCAACUGUUUAUUAAAAACACAGCACUGUGCAAACACGAAAGUGGACGUAUACGGUGUGACGCCUGCCCGGUGCCGGAAGGUUAAUUGAUGGGGUUAGCGCAAGCGAAGCUCUUGAUCGAAGCCCCGGUAAACGGCGGCCGUAACUAUAACGGUCCUAAGGUAGCGAAAUUCCUUGUCGGGUAAGUUCCGACCUGCACGAAUGGCGUAAUGAUGGCCAGGCUGUCUCCACCCGAGACUCAGUGAAAUUGAACUCGCUGUGAAGAUGCAGUGUACCCGCGGCAAGACGGAAAGACCCCGUGAACCUUUACUAUAGCUUGACACUGAACAUUGAGCCUUGAUGUGUAGGAUAGGUGGGAGGCUUUGAAGUGUGGACGCCAGUCUGCAUGGAGCCGACCUUGAAAUACCACCCUUUAAUGUUUGAUGUUCUAACGUUGACCCGUAAUCCGGGUUGCGGACAGUGUCUGGUGGGUAGUUUGACUGGGGCGGUCUCCUCCUAAAGAGUAACGGAGGAGCACGAAGGUUGGCUAAUCCUGGUCGGACAUCAGGAGGUUAGUGCAAUGGCAUAAGCCAGCUUGACUGCGAGCGUGACGGCGCGAGCAGGUGCGAAAGCAGGUCAUAGUGAUCCGGUGGUUCUGAAUGGAAGGGCCAUCGCUCAACGGAUAAAAGGUACUCCGGGGAUAACAGGCUGAUACCGCCCAAGAGUUCAUAUCGACGGCGGUGUUUGGCACCUCGAUGUCGGCUCAUCACAUCCUGGGGCUGAAGUAGGUCCCAAGGGUAUGGCUGUUCGCCAUUUAAAGUGGUACGCGAGCUGGGUUUAGAACGUCGUGAGACAGUUCGGUCCCUAUCUGCCGUGGGCGCUGGAGAACUGAGGGGGGCUGCUCCUAGUACGAGAGGACCGGAGUGGACGCAUCACUGGUGUUCGGGUUGUCAUGCCAAUGGCACUGCCCGGUAGCUAAAUGCGGAAGAGAUAAGUGCUGAAAGCAUCUAAGCACGAAACUUGCCCCGAGAUGAGUUCUCCCUGACCCUUUAAGGGUCCUGAAGGAACGUUGAAGACGACGACGUUGAUAGGCCGGGUGUGUAAGCGCAGCGAUGCGUUGAGCUAACCGGUACUAAUGAACCGUGAGGCUUAACCUU
Molecule: ribosomal RNA, 2903 nt
Filed under: Escherichia coli
Lineage: Bacteria; Pseudomonadati; Pseudomonadota; Gammaproteobacteria; Enterobacterales; Enterobacteriaceae
Description: 23S ribosomal RNA
Rfam family: Bacterial large subunit ribosomal RNA
Source: RNAcentral